RNAcentral lists this ribosomal RNA (324 nucleotides) under uncultured soil bacterium. RNAcentral's name for it is "bacterial SSU rRNA". It matches the Rfam family "Bacterial small subunit ribosomal RNA", at positions 26 to 354 of the family's 1533-position model. The record is from RNAcentral.
AGAUUGAACGCUGGCGGCAGGCCUAACACAUGCAAGUCGAGCGGUAGAGAGGUGCUUGCAUCUCUUGAGAGCGGCGGACGGGUGAGUAAUGCCUAGGAAUCUGCCUAGUGGUGGGGGAUAACGUUCGGAAACGGACGCUAAUACCGCAUACGUCCUACGGGAGAAAGCGGGGGACCUUCGGGCCUCGCGCCAUUAGAUGAGCCUAGGUCGGAUUAGCUAGUUGGUGAGGUAAUGGCUCACCAAGGCGACGAUCCGUAACUGGUCUGAGAGGAUGAUCAGUCACACUGGAACUGAGACACGGUCCAGACCUCCGUACGGGAGCAG